GACGAACGCUGGCGGCGUGCUUAACACAUGCAAGUCGAACGGAAAGGCCCUUCUUUUGUUGGGUGCUCGAGUGGCGAACGGGUGAGUAACACGUGAGUAACCUGCCCUUGACUUUGGGAUAACUUCAGGAAACUGGGGCUAAUACCGUAUAGGAGCUCCUGCUUCAUGGUGGGGGUUGGAAAGUUUCGGCGGUUGGGGAUGGACUCGCGGCUUGUCAGCUUGUUGGUGGGGUAGUUGCUUACCAAGGCUUUGACGGGUAGCCGGCCUGAGAGGGUGACAGGCAAGAUUGGGACUGAGAUACGGCCCAGACUCCUACGGGAGGCAGCAGUGGGGAAUAUUGCAAAAUGGGCGGAAGCCGGAUGCAGCAACGCCGCGUGCGGGAUGACGGCCUUCGGGUUGUAAACCGCUUUCGCCUGUGACGAAGCGUGAGUGACGGUAAUGGGUAAAGAAGCACCGGCUAACUACGUG
Molecule: ribosomal RNA, 468 nt
Filed under: uncultured bacterium
Lineage: Bacteria
Description: partial 16S ribosomal RNA
Rfam family: Bacterial small subunit ribosomal RNA
Source: RNAcentral